Molecule: transfer RNA, 69 nt
Filed under: Nemichthys scolopaceus (slender snipe eel)
Lineage: Eukaryota; Metazoa; Chordata; Actinopteri; Anguilliformes; Nemichthyidae
Description: tRNA-Ser (AGY)
Source: RNAcentral
GAGAGAGUAAGAUACAACUAAGAGAUUGCUAAUCCCUUAGAACUCCGGUUUAAAUCCGGGGCUCACUCG